This 395-nucleotide unclassified non-coding RNA is filed under the name soil metagenome. RNAcentral describes it as "partial contains 5.8S ribosomal RNA, internal transcribed spacer 2, and large subunit ribosomal RNA". The stretch from base 1 to 122 matches the Rfam family "5.8S ribosomal RNA", at positions 35 to 154 of the family's 154-position model. The record is from RNAcentral.
GAUGAAGAACGUAGCGAAAUGGGAUACUUGGUGUGAAUUGCAGAAUCCCGUGAACCAUCGAGUCUUUGAACGCAAGUUGCGCCCGAAGCCAUCAGGUUGAGGGCACGUCUGCCUGGGCGUCACAUAUCGUUGCCCAAUGCCUAUUGCAGUGCAAUAGGAAUUUCUAGGGCGAAUGAUGGCUUCCCGUGAGCGUUGUUGCCUCGCGGUUGGUUGAAAAUCGAGUCCUUGGUAGGGUGUGCCAUGGUAGAUGGUGGUCGAGUUAGAACGAUACCGAUCAUGUGCAUGCUCCCCAAAAUAUGGCCUCUAUGACCCACACGCGUCUUUUGACGCUCAUGACGAGACCUCAGGUCAGGCGGGGCUACCCGCUGAAUUUAAGCAUAUCAAUAAGCGGAGGA